This 324-nucleotide ribosomal RNA is filed under the name Varanus prasinus. RNAcentral's name for it is "partial 12S ribosomal RNA". It matches the Rfam family "Bacterial small subunit ribosomal RNA", at positions 857 to 1349 of the family's 1533-position model. Lineage: Eukaryota; Metazoa; Chordata; Lepidosauria; Squamata; Varanidae. The record is from RNAcentral.
UCAACAACCCAUUCGCCCGAGAAUUACCAGCAUAAGCUAAAAACUCAAAAGACUUGACGGUGCUCUACCCUGCCUAGAGGAGCCUGUCCUAUAAUCGAUAUUCCACGAUACACCCAACCACUACUAGCAUCUCAGUCUAUAUACCGCCGUCGAAAGUAUAUCCCUCAAAGGCCCCAUAAUUAUCUCAAUAGCCCCCCGCUGGAACGUCAGGCCAAGGCAUAGCUAACGUAGUGGAAGAGAUGGGCUACAUUUUCUGAAACCAGAACAUACGAAAAAUGGCAUGAAAAUUGCUAUUUAAAGGUGGAUUUAGCAGUAAGAUGAAGA